GCGCUCGCUUCGGCAGCACAUACACUAAAAUUGGAACAAUACAGAGAAGAUGAGCACGGCCCCUGCGCAAGGAUGACACGCGAAUUCGUGAAGCAUUCUGUGUUAAA
Artibeus jamaicensis (Jamaican fruit-eating bat) is the source of this 107-nucleotide small nuclear RNA. The record is from RefSeq and is a predicted model, not a curated record. Lineage: Eukaryota; Metazoa; Chordata; Mammalia; Chiroptera; Phyllostomidae.